GAAGGAUUUUAGCAUGUCCGCCGGUAGCACAAAUCAGCAAAAAUAAAUCAGCUGCUCUGCAAAAACAAAGCAACGGCAGGAGCCACAGGUGGUGGUGGUGAGAAUAGAGUAGCAGUGGGAGUGGAGGUUAGAUGGACAUUAGGCCUAUGCUGGGGGUGUCCCAGGAGCUGGAGAAGUCCCGGGCUGGCAACCCCCCAUUCCUCCUUGACCACACCAGUGGUGAUUAUUAAUAAAAUUUAAAUCUCUUUAUUUUGGUCAGCAACCAACAUGAGAUUAAAACAAAGGUAGAAGAGAAGACAAACAAACUUCUACUACAAACAAUAAAACCAAAUCAAUUUUUUAAAGUCCUCCUGAACAUAGAUCAAGGUAUUGCUUCUUGGCCUUUUGGCAAAGAUCAGGAAUUGUUUAGUUCUCAGUUCCAAGGACACUCUGAAUGGUAUCCAUUAAGAAUCUUUUCAAGGGAAAAAUAAAAGCAAUUAAAAAAAUAGAAGCCUUUGUUCUCUGCCAUAGGACAGAGAUCCUUUUUCUCCUGGCCUCUUUUGUUUUCUGAGAGAUUAUGCUGCUGACUCCAUUUUGAAAUGAGGUGAACAAAGAACUUUGGGAAAUCACGUGUGAGGCCCUGCUGGAAACAGAUCUCAGCCAGACAGUGUAAGAUGUAGUUUUAUUUUAUGGAUGUGUGACCAUUUAAAAAAUAAUCUUUAUUUUUACUUUUCAAUGUGAUGCAAAUUCUCAUUUUCUUAAAGAAAUUCAAUUUAACAGUUUUCAUACAAUCCUGUACCAUGGAUCUUUAACACUCUAUUUACCCUUGGGAGUUCUGGUGACAGCAUAGUAUAGAUUCCCUAGUAAUACUGAGGUUCCUUCAUAGAAACAGUGAGUAUAUUACAUCCUUGAUGUAUAUUUUACCAAAUCUAGGAUGAACUGGCUCCCUGUUAUCUGAAUGUAUUGUGUAUCUUCCUCUCAGUUCCAUUUUGGUUUAUUCUUAUAUGAACAAGCAAUCUCUCUUAUCAGAACCUUUGAUUAACUAAAUGUUUUCAACACCCCCGAUAGGUGAUUUAUACUAGAUUUUGUAAUAUGUUGCUGUAUUUAGCAGAGUCCGUUCUAUCUACUAACCUAAUUUGUCUGCAACAUGGUGAUGCAUUUUGUACUCAUGCAAUUGAUACAGCAAAUUGCAUUACUUGUCAAUGCUGCAUAAACUGCAAGUUG
Molecule: long non-coding RNA, 1203 nt
Organism: Hemicordylus capensis (graceful crag lizard)
Lineage: Eukaryota; Metazoa; Chordata; Lepidosauria; Squamata; Cordylidae
Exons: 3
Source: RefSeq, a predicted model, not a curated record